Molecule: ribosomal RNA, 338 nt
Filed under: Crotalaria argyraea
Lineage: Eukaryota; Viridiplantae; Streptophyta; Magnoliopsida; Fabales; Fabaceae
Description: 5.8S ribosomal RNA
Rfam family: 5.8S ribosomal RNA (bases 49-204)
Source: RNAcentral
UCGGAGACGGUGCUCGCGCGGGCGGUGAUGCGACACGCGUAUCCGAAAGACUCUCGGCAAUGGAUAUCUCGGCUCUUGCAUCGAUGAAGAACGUAGCGAAAUGCGAUACUUGGUGUGAAUUGCAGAAUCCCGUGAACCAUCGAGUCUUUGAACGCAAGUUGCGCCCGAAGCCAUUAGGCCGAGGGCACGCCUGCCUGGGUGUCGCCCAUCGUUGCCCCAUUGCCCUGGCCUCGUGCUAGGCACCGAGUUGGGCGAAUGCUGGCUUCCCGCGAGCAAUGCCUCACGGUUGGUUGAAAACUGAGUCCGUGGUGGAGGGCGCCGUGACGGAUGGUGGUUGA